This 642-nucleotide ribosomal RNA is filed under the name uncultured fungus. Its description in RNAcentral is "eukaryotic LSU rRNA". The stretch from base 215 to 368 matches the Rfam family "5.8S ribosomal RNA". The record is from RNAcentral. Lineage: Eukaryota; Fungi.
GGAAGUAAAAGUCGUAACAAGGUUUCCGUAGGUGAACCUGCGGAAGGAUCAUUAGUGAAUCUAGGACGUCCAACUUAACUUGGAGUCCGAACUCUCACUUUCUAACCCUGUGCAUCUGUUUUAAAAUUGGCUAGUAGCUCUUCGGAGUGAACCACCAUUUUUCACUUAUACAAACACAAAGUCUAUGAAUGUAAGCAAAUUUAUAACAAAACAAAACUUUCAACAACGGAUCUCUUGGCUCUCGCAUCGAUGAAGAACGCAGCGAACUGCGAUACGUAAUGUGAAUUGCAGAAUUCAGUGAAUCAUCGAAUCUUUGAACGCACCUUGCGCUCCUUGGUAUUCCGAGGAGCAUGCCUGUUUGAGUGUCAUGAAAUCUUCAACCCACCUCUUUCUUAGUGAAUCUGGUGGUGCUUGGUUUCUGAGCGCUGCUCUGCUUCGGCUUAUCUCGUUCGUAAUGCAUUAGCAUCCGCAACCGAAACUUCGGAUUGACUUGGCGUAAUAGACUAUUCGCUGAGGAUUCCAGACUUGUUCUGGAGCCGAGUUGGGUUAAAGGAAGCUUCUAAUCCUAAAGUCUAUUUUUUGAUUAGAUCUCAAAUCAGGUAAGACUACCCGCUGAACUUAAGCAUAUCAAUAAGCGGAGGA